AUUGAACGCUGGCGGCAGGCCUAACACAUGCAAGUCGAACGGUAACAGGAAGAAGCUUGCUUCUUUGCUGACGAGUGGCGGACGGGUGAGUAAUGUCUGUGAAACUGCCUGAUGGAGGGGGAUAACUACUGGAAACGGUAGCUAAUACCGCAUAACGUCGCAAGACCAAAGAGGGGGACCUUCGGGCCUCUUGCCAUCGGAUGUGCCCAGAUGGGAUUAGCUAGUAGGUGGGGUAACGGCUCACCUAGGCGACGAUCCCUAGCUGGUCUGAGAGGAUGACCAGCCACACUGGAACUGAGACACGGUCCAGACUCCUACGGGAGGCAGCAGUGGGGAAUAUUGCACAAUGGGCGCAAGCCUGAUGCAGCCAUGCCGCGUGUAUGAAGAAGGCCUUCGGGUUGUAAAGUACUUUUAGCGGGGAGGAAGGGAGUAAAGUUAAUACCUUGGCUCAUUGACGUUACCCGAAGAAGAAGCACCGGCUAACUCCGUG
This 490-nucleotide ribosomal RNA is filed under the name uncultured bacterium. RNAcentral describes it as "partial 16S ribosomal RNA". It matches the Rfam family "Bacterial small subunit ribosomal RNA", at positions 30 to 507 of the family's 1533-position model. The record is from RNAcentral.